RNAcentral lists this ribosomal RNA (496 nucleotides) under uncultured bacterium. RNAcentral describes it as "partial 16S ribosomal RNA". It matches the Rfam family "Bacterial small subunit ribosomal RNA", at positions 28 to 506 of the family's 1533-position model. The record is from RNAcentral.
GAUGAACGCUGGCGGCGUGCCUAAUACAUGCAAGUCGAGCGAACGGACGAGAAGCUUGCUUCUCUGAUGUUAGCGGCGGACGGGUGAGUAACACGUGGAUAACCUACCUAUAAGACUGGGAUAACUUCGGGAAACCGGAGCUAAUACCGGAUGAUAUUUUGAACCGCAUGGUUCAAAAGUGAAAGACGGUCUUGCUGUCACUUAUAGAUGGAUCCGCGCUGCAUUAGCUAGUUGGUAAGGUAACGGCUUACCAAGGCAACGAUGCAUAGCCGACCUGAGAGGGGGAACGGCCACACUGGAAAUGAGACACGGGCCAGAAUCCUAAGGGAGGCAGGAGUAGGGAAUCUUCCGGAAUGGGCGAAAGCCUGAAGGAGGAACGCCGCGUGAGUGAUGAAGGUCUUCGGAUCGUAAAACUCUGUUAUUAGGGAAGAACAUAUGUGUAAGUAACUGUGCACAUCUUGACGGUACCUAAUCAGAAAGCCACGGCUAACUACGU